Long non-coding RNA from Dama dama (fallow deer), 3943 nucleotides. RefSeq lists it as uncharacterized. The record is from RefSeq and is a predicted model, not a curated record. NCBI's taxonomy places the organism in Eukaryota, Metazoa, Chordata, Mammalia, Artiodactyla, Cervidae. The transcript is spliced from 4 exons.
UUGCAGUGAGAGAGCAGACUGGGGCAUUGGGAAGCCCAAGUGUGGUGUGCCCAAUGUCUGAGGUUGGCAGGUUAAUUUUAGAGGCCUUAUUUUCUUGCUGUUGAACGACCCCUGGACCUCAUCUUUACAAGAGGCAGAAGCCUUGAUAUAUUUUAAACUUGUGGGAAGACCUCUUAGCAAGCUCUUGGCAUAAGGCUGUGUUUUUGGCGCUGACAGUACACUCUGACUGAAGCUGGAGGACAGACGGGAGGGGGUCUGGAGUGGAUGCUGGAGGACCGACCACAGGCCGUGCAGUAGUACAGUGCCUGCUCAUCACUGCGCAGAAGCUGGUGGGUAAGACUUGGUGGAGAGUGAACCUAAGGUACCAGGGGAGGACCUGCUAUCUCUACCUGCUAAAAAACAAAACAAGCUGUCACACAACUCUGAAGCUUAGCAUAAGGAGGAAUUCAGUGACUGUACUGAUCGUCAGCCAGUUUGAAAUUCUCGACACCAAAAGAACACACAGCAAUCUACUUCCACAGGGACCAGUCUGUGAAUGGUAACCACCACACAGAGGAUGGAAGUGUUUUCUUUUACAAAAGAUGUAAGAAGCUCCCUGAGGAGCGUGAGUUUUUUUACCCUUUGCCCUAAGGAGCACAGGCUGGGGAGGUAAUUCCUCAGUUCGUGGCUGCUCUCGGAAAUUCUCAGGUUUCCCCUGAGGCUGAAGUGUUUGUUCCAGCUUUGUUUAGGUUUGGAACCUCCAGGCUGCCUUUCCACAGGGUCUUUCCUGGGUUCGUAAUGGGGCAGACAUUUUGCAUUGCUUUGCAUCUGUCUCAGCAGUCCGUUUCUCAUUAUGACACCAUAAAGUGGUGUCUACUAUUCAUUCAGUGUUAAUGUGCUUGGCGCAGCUGGCAUAAAGGGGCACUAUACAGAUGUGUGAACUGGGGGCUUAAUGGGUUUACCAUUUCAGUGCCAGGAGACCUAGACUCCAGUCUUACUGCCACAGGCUCAUGAAGAAGCCAUGCUUGGAAAGUCAUUUAAUUUAUCUGAACCUCAGAAAUGGAGAGUUGCUGGAAAUGGUCAUGUUUUAGGAGGGAAAAGACAGUCAGGUUGCAGUGAGGAAACACGUCUAUGUAAGCAUUUUGGGUAAAUUGUCUAAAGAGACUGCAGAAGAAAGGGAUCUAAUUUCUAAAGUUCCAGUAACUGGUUGUGAUUUUGUUUCUCACUUAAAAUAUUUAUUUCCCCCCCAUAAUUUUGUAUUUUCUGUUUUGUGUUGUUUUCCCGAAAGGGAUCCCUAAUUGUACAAGCUCAACGUGCCAAAAAACCUAGAUCACAUUUCUGAAAUGAAUUUGCACACUAGCCAAGUGCUCUAUUCUUUGCCAGUAAAGCUGCUGUGCCUUUUCUAAAGCUGUUCCCGCUAUAUAUGAGGGUAUGGGUAUGGAUGGAGGCAGGAAAGAUAGAAGAGGGAGAACACAUACUCGACAGUGUGUGACAUGAGGAGCCGGUAUAAGGACCAUAUGUGAGAGCAGGGGGAGAGGCGGGGGCAGGAAAAAGCUUGGAUUUUACUCUAGCCACUGGAGCUAGGGAGUGAUUAAGAUACAACUAAAGUUUAAAAGAUCAUGCUGGCUACUGUGAAGAAUGAACACAGAUGGGACAUGAAUGAAGCCAGGGAGACAGACUGGACUAGUGCAGUGCCAGGGUAAGAGCAGGUGGUGGCUUGGGCUGGGGUGGUAGCAGCAGAGAUGGUGGGAAGAACACUCGGGUAGAGAUAACAGCAUUUUUGCUGAUCCUCCUUAGACUGGAUCAGGGAGGAGUGAAGAAAAGAAGGAAGAAUGCUCCUUUGGUUUGAGCAACUGGACAGACAGUGCGUCAAUUGUUGAGCUGAAGAAGGCUAGGGAAGGACAGUUUUAAAUGCUGAGGCUGAGGUACCUGUGAUACUCCAAGGGGAGGUAUCAAGCAGGUCUCUGACUAUAGAGCUCACAGGGGAGGCUAACACUGAAAACAAGGUGAGGAGUCAUAGCGUGUAGAUAGCUUUCAAGAGCGGGGCGUGAGAUCAUGUGAGAAGAAAGCAGACAGAAAAAGAGAGGAGACCCUCAGAACUGUGCAGCUCUCCAUACUUACUGAUUAAAAAAAGGAGGAUGAAUAGGAAAAACGGGCAGAAAAGAGCAGCUGAGAGGAGGAAAACCAGGGGAAGAUAGUGCUGUGGAAGCCAAGAAAGGAAGAUGCAUCAAGAAGGCAGGAAUGGCCAGCAAGGCCAAAUGUCACUAAGUACAGACGAGGCUGAGGAUGAAAAAGUGACCGCUAGGUUUGGCAACAUUUGAAUUUUAGGUACCUACCUAGAUAAGAGGAAUUCCAGUACACUGAGAGAACUGGAAAUCACAAUGAAGUGAUUUAAGGAGGAACUGGGAAAAAUAGAACAUAAAUAGACCCAUAAUCAUCAUAAAAAUUAAAUUAGUAGCUAAAAACUUAUUCUUUCCCUCUCAAAAAAUGAAAACCAUUAGGUUUUUCAGACUUUAAUGAUAGAUAAUUCCUGUUGUACAUAAACUGUUCCAGAGAAUGCAAAAGAAUAGAAAAGAAGGGGGAAACAGCCUCAAUUUAUUUUACAAGGCUGUUAUAAUCCUGUUACCAAAAUCAGACAAAGAUUAUUGUAUACAUAGGCUAGCCUCAUCUCUGUUUACAAAAGUAGAUAUUCUAAAAAUAUUAGCAAAUCAUGGAAUCUAAUUAAAAUGAUAUCAAAGAACUUAUUUACAAAACAAAGACUCACAGAUUUCAAAAGCAAACUUAUGGUUAUCAAAGGGGAAAUGUGGAAGGCAGGGAUAAAUUAGGGGCAUGGGAUUGACAUUCACACUACCAUAAAUAACACAUAACCAACAAGGACCUCCUGCGCUGCACAAGGAACUCUACUCAAUAUUCUGUAAUAAUCUAUACGGGGAAAGAAUCUGAAAAAGGAGGAGUACAUGUGUAACUGAAUUACUGUGCUGCACAGCUGAAACCAUCACAACAUUGUAAACGAACUAUUAGUCAGUGUUAGUCACUCGGUCGUGUCCGACUCUGCGACCCCGUGGACUGUAGCCAGCCAGGCUCCUCUGCCCAUGGAAUUCUCCAGGCAAGAAUACUGGAGCAGGCUGCCAAUCCCUUCUCCAGAUCUUCCCAACCCAGGGAUCAAACCUGGGUCUCCUGCAUUGCAGGCAGAUUCUUUACUACUGAGUCACCAAAGGAAGCCCAAAUCAACUAUACUUCAAUAAAACAAAAAAGUGCGUGUGUAUGUGUAAUGGAAUACUAUGCAGCCAUAAACGGAAUGAAAUAAUGCCAUCUGCAGUAACAUGGAUAGACCUAGAGAUUACCAUACUAAGUGAAGUAAGUCAGAGAAGACAAAUACCAUACAUGAUCACUUAUACAUGGAAUUUGAAACAUGACACAAACGAACUUAUCUAAAAAAUAGAAAUAGACUUACAGACAUAGAGAAUGAACUUGUGAUUGCCAAGGAGGACAGGGGCUGAGGGAUGGAUGGAUGGGGAGUUUGGGAUUAGCACAUACAAACUAUUACACCUGUUGCUUUUCAGUCGCUUAGUCGUGUCCAACUCUUUGUGACCCCAUGGACUACAUACAGCACACCAGGCUCCCCUAAUCCUUCAGUAUCUCCCAGUGUUGGCUCAACUCAUGUCCACUGUAUGUAUUAUAUGUAGAAUGGAUAAACAACAAGGUCCUACUGUAUAGCAAAGGGAACUAUACUUAGUAUUCUGUAACAAAUCAUAAGGGAAUGAAUAUGAAAAAGAACAUAUAUAUAUAUGUAUGACUGAAUCACUUUCCUGUAAAGCAGAAAUUGAUACAUGGUAAAUCAACUAUACUUCAAUAAAGUAAAUUAAAAAAAUUAGCAAAUGAAAUUCAAUACUAUACAAAAAAAUAAUACAUCACAAUCAAGUAGAGUAUAUCCCAGGUGGCAAAGAUGGUUUAACAACAGAAA